GUGCUCACUUCGGCUGCACAUAUACUAAAAUAGGAACGAUGCAGAGAAGAUUAGCA
RNAcentral lists this small RNA (56 nucleotides) under Podarcis lilfordi (Lilford's wall lizard). The record is from RNAcentral. Lineage: Eukaryota; Metazoa; Chordata; Lepidosauria; Squamata; Lacertidae.